Molecule: ribosomal RNA, 484 nt
Filed under: uncultured bacterium
Lineage: Bacteria
Description: partial 16S ribosomal RNA
Rfam family: Bacterial small subunit ribosomal RNA
Source: RNAcentral
AUUGAACGCUGGCGGCAGGCCUAACACAUGCAAGUCGAGCGGAUGAAGGGAGCUUGCUCCUGGAUUCAGCGGCGGACGGGUGAGUAAUGCCUAGGAAUCUGCCUGGUAGUGGGGGAUAACGUCCGGAAACGGGCGCUAAUACCGCAUACGUCCUGAGGGAGAAAGUGGGGGAUCUUCGGACCUCACGCUAUCAGAUGAGCCUAGGUCGGAUUAGCUAGUUGGUGGGGUAAAGGCCUACCAAGGCGACGAUCCGUAACUGGUCUGAGAGGAUGAUCAGUCACACUGGAACUGAGACACGGUCCAGACUCCUACGGGAGGCAGCAGUGGGGAAUAUUGGACAAUGGGCGAAAGCCUGAUCCAGCCAUGCCGCGUGGGUGAAGAAGGUCUUCGGAUUUUAAAGCACUUUAAGUUGGGAGGAAGGGCAGUAAGUUAAUACCUUGCUGUUUUGACGUUACCAACAGAAUAAGCACCGGCUAACUUCGUG